Molecule: ribosomal RNA, 987 nt
Filed under: Cytospora pubescentis
Lineage: Eukaryota; Fungi; Ascomycota; Sordariomycetes; Diaporthales; Cytosporaceae
Description: SSU rRNA
Rfam family: Eukaryotic small subunit ribosomal RNA
Source: RNAcentral
GGCUCAUUAAAUCAGUUAUCGUAUAUUUGAUAGUACCUACUACAUGGAUAACCGUGGUAAUUCUAGAGCUAAUACAUGCUUAAAAUCCCGACUUCGGAAGGGAUGUAUUUAUUAGAUUAAAAACCAAUGCCCUUCGGGGCUCACUGGUGAUUCAUAAUAACUUCUCGAAUCGCAUGGCCUUGUGCCGGCGAUGGUUCAUUCAAAUUUCUGCCCUAUCAACUUUCGACGGCUGGGUCUUGGCCAGCCGUGGUUACAACGGGUAACGGAGGGUUAGGGCUUGACCCCGGAGAAGGAGCCUGAGAAACGGCUACUACAUCCAAGGAAGGCAGCAGGCGCGCAAAUUACCCAAUCCCGACACGGGGAGGUAGUGACAAUAAAUACUGAUACAGGGCUCUUUUGGGUCUUGUAAUUGGAAUGAGUACAAUUUAAAUCCCUUAACGAGGAACGAUUGGAGGGCAAGUCUGGUGCCAGCAGCCGCGGUAAUUCCAGCUCCAAUAGCGUAUAUUAAAGUUGUUGCAGUUAAAAAGCUCGUAGUUGAACCUUGGGCCUGGCUGGCCGGUCUGCCUCACCGCAUGCACUGGUCCGGCCGGGCCUUUCCCUCUGGGGAUCCGCAUGCCCUUCACUGGGUGUGUCGGGGAACCAGGACUUUUACUGUGAAAAAAUUAGAGUGUUCAAAGCAGGCCUAUGCUCGAAUACAUUAGCAUGGAAUAAUAGAAUAGGACGUUGCGGUUCUAUUUUGUUGGUUUCUAGGACCGCCGUAAUGAUUAAUAGGGACAGUCGGGGGCGUCAGUAUUCAAUCGUCAGAGGUGAAAUUCUUGGAUCGAUUGAAGACUAACUACUGCGAAAGCAUUCGCCAAGGAUGUUUUCAUUAAUCAGGAACGAAAGUUAGGGGAUCGAAAACGAUCAGAUACCGUUGUAGUCUUAACCAUAAACUAUGCCGACUAGGGAUCGGGCGAUGUUAUUUCUUGACUCGCUCGGCACCUUACA